Molecule: long non-coding RNA, 6368 nt
Filed under: Podarcis lilfordi (Lilford's wall lizard)
Lineage: Eukaryota; Metazoa; Chordata; Lepidosauria; Squamata; Lacertidae
Source: RNAcentral
GGCAGGAUUACAUAAGAGCAAUCUCUUGCUAUUCGCACUAAGACAACACACUGCAUUUCCUUGAGAGACCACAUUUCCCAAACGGCGUGGCGAAAGGGGAAGAAAUCUGAGUGACGCAGCAGCAACAGCAACAGCCGGUUUGCCAGUUCCCCAUGGGGGAAAAAAGAGAGAGAGUUUGGAGCUUUGGAAGGGAUUCAGGAUGAUGAGGAGAUUUUUUACCGUAAGUGCUUAGUAACUCUAGAAGCAGAACAGCCCCUCUCCCGUCUCUCCAGGGGCAUGACACAUGCUAACUUUCAGCCGUGUUUCGUUGCAAUUUUAAAAAGCAAGUUGCUGUAUUAUUGCUUCGUGGUUACACAGAGAGAGGGGAGAGAGCCAUAGCAAGAUUUUUCUCUACUUUGCUGAUUCACCCCACUCAGGGAGGUAGCAAAACAAUGAGGUUAUUCCUCUCCACGAACCACAGCCCUGGAAUGAGCUAGGGAGAUGAGCCCAGCACAAAACGAAUGGAAACGUCUGAGGGAGAGUCAUUUAAAAAGAGGACCUGAAUUCCGAUGUGGUUACAGUUCUUCCCGGCUACUCAGAAGUACAAAGCAAUCGCACUUUGGUACAUAUCUGGCAUUCUUUUUUUCACAUUUGUACUCCACCUUUCCUUUUCUAAGGAGCUCGAGGUGCUUUCCACAAUUCUCUGCCCCCCCCCCCAAUUAUCCUCAAAACAGCCCUACAGGGUAGGUUCGGCUGAGAGUAAAUGACUGUCCCGGGUUCAAAUCAAGUGGCCGAGCGGCAAUUUGAACCCUGGUCUCCCAGGUCCUAGGCCAUGGGUAGGCAACCUAAGGCCCGCGGGCCAGAUCCAGCCCAAUUGCCUUCUAAAUCCGGCCCGUGGAUGGUCCGGGAAUCAGCGUGUUUUUACAUGAAUAGAAUGUGUCCUUUUAUUUAAAAUGCAUCUCUGGGUUAUUUGUGGGACCUGUCUGAUGUUUUUACAUGAGCAGAAUGUGUGCUUUUAUUUAAAACGCAUCUCUGGGUUAUUUGUGGGGCAUAGGAAUUCGUUCAUUCCCCCCCCCCAAAAAAAAUAUAGUCUGCCCCCCACAAGGUCUGAUGGACAGUGGACCGGCCCCCUGCUGAAAAAGUUUGCUGACCCCUGUCCUGGGCCGACGCUCUAACCACUAGGCCACAGAGUGGUGACUUCAACAGCCUCCACCCCACUAAAAAAAGCAGAAAAAUAUGACAAACAAGGAUCUGAAACUCAGAGCUUGGAGUUUACUGCACAAGAGAGAACAUUCCCAAGCAACCAUUCUGUCUAUCAUCCAUCUAUCUAUCUAUCUAUCUAUCUAUCUAUCUAUCUAUCAUCUUUUUAUUUUGCAUUCCACCUCCCCCCCCCCCCCGAGGAGCUGAAGGUGGCGGACAAGGGUCUCCCCCUCCCCAUUUUCUCCUUACAACAACCCUGUGAAGUAGGAUAGGCUAGGAGACAGCAAUUGGCUCAAGAACACCCAGUGAGAUUCCUACAUUGCGGGGGUUGGACUAGAUGACCCCGGUAGUCCCUUCCAAAUCUACAAUUCUAUGGCUGACCAGGAGAUUUGAACCCCAGACCUCCAAGUCCCAGCCCACCACCAUAACCAUCACACAGCACUGGUUCCCUUGAAAGGAAGUGAGCUGCAACAUGCCCUUGUAGGUACAGAGACAGCUGCUUUAUGCUGAGUAUCUAGUUCAGAAAUGUCCAUACUGACUGAUAGAGCAUCUCUCCAGGGCUUCAGGCAGGUUGUCCCCAUCCCUACCUGUGGAGAUGCCCCGGGCAGUACCUGGGUCCUUCUGGAUGCAAAGCAGGUGCUCUAACCCUGAGCUCGUCCAGGUGAAAGGAUGGAGAGACCCUCUGUUUGUCUCCCUAGGCAACCAGCCAUCAGUCAAAAAUGGACCAUCCUGGGCUAGGAAGAAUAUAGGGAAGCCUUUUAACGUGUUAAUGUUUUAUUAUGUUUUAAUAAUAAUUUUUUAUUUAUACGCCGCCCUUCCCGGUUCAGAAAACCGGGCUCAGGAUGGCUAAUAACAAAUUUAAAACCUUUAAUUGAUGCAACAAAACAGCAUAAAAUACAGUCUAGAACAUGAAUAACAAUAAAUUCAGAAUUCAAAAAUCAAUUUAGAGGGAAAAUCCAUCCAAUAAACAUUAGAUAAUCACCAGGGCUAGCUGGCUAAAUUAAUCCUAUUUGGGCCAGCGAGGAGACCAGGGGAGAAUUAGCUGUGGGAUCCCAGAGUGGGUAAUCUUCAUAGAAAGGGGAGGGAGAGGGAAGGAAGGAGAAUAAAAGAUCAGGUUAGGUUCAAAUCGAAAGCCAGGAGGAAUAGCUCUGUCUUACAGUUCCUGUGGAAGGAAGUUAAAUCCUGCAGGGCCCUCGUCUCAUGGGACAGAGCAUUCCACCAGGUCGGAGCCAUCACUGAGAAGGCCCUGGCCCCAGUGGAGGAUAAUCUGACUUCCCUAGGGCCCAGGACCUCUAAACUAUGGUUAUUCAUGGACCUUAAGGUCCUCUGUGGGGCAUACCAAGAGAGGCGGUCCCAUAAAUUUAUAUAUGUUGGAAGCUUCCCAGAGUGGCUGGAGCAACCCAGUCAAGUGGGCAGGGUACAUCUUCUUCUUCUUCUUCUUCUUCUUCUUCUUCUUCUUCUUCUUCUUCUUCUUCUUCAGCUACGGUCCCACAUGGCAAGGCAAGCAGCCUCCAGAUUUUUAGGGGUAUUGGAGAAACGCAACAUAGCACAUAGGAAGCUGCCUCAUACUUAUACUGAGUCAGACUGCUGGUACCCAUCAAGCUUAAGGACUGCCUACACUGACCGGCAGCAGCUGUCCAGAUUUUCCAGACAAAAGUCGCAGAGGAGUGUGCAAACUUCCCGUCAUCUCCGAGCAAAGAGAAAUAAUAAAUCCAUUUGAAUUUCUCCUCCCACCAUAGCGCAGACAGAACUCAGCUUUAUGGUUUAAAAGUCUCAAGUUGCCCUUUCCAGCCUGUGUGUGUGUGUGUGCGCCUAGCUCUCAGCUCCGGGACGUCAGCCAAAGUCGAUUACAGGCGACUUAAAGGGAUGGAGAAAGGGAGGAAAGCAGGGAAAAGACUCAAGAGCGGGCGGGAAUCAAUUCGCAGCUGUAGCAAGACCGGCAAGGUCUCGGCAGCCAAAAAACAUGAGGCUAAAUUUACAGGUCCGGGGGAAGGCAGGAGUAGCAAACUGAUCUUGAACGGGGAGAAAACAGACAACAGCUCUCUCUCCCCUGGCACACAAGUACUGACAGAGCUAGGUCAUCUUGCUUGUUAUUGAGAAACCGGGGCAGAGAGCACGAGGGCUGACGCACAAAGGCUUGUCAAGUGUUUACUGGCAAAGGUACUUUGCCACUUUCCCUGCUGCUGCGAACGCACCACCGGCGCUGUGUAAUUUCUCACGCCGCACAGAUAAGCAGGUGGAGGAAAAUGGAACAGAAGUAGCCAGGGGCGAGGCGCUAAGCUCCUCCGGCGCAUCCACCUGUCACCGUGGGUCCUCGGUUUGGGGAGGAGGUGAUGCCCUAUGACUCAGCUACCUUUGCGUCAAGCAAAGCUAAUCCCUUUUCUCUGAUCUUCUGCCGCUCCCGCAGGAAGAACGUUCAGCUUCAACCUGACAACUAGACAUUUGCUUCCCAAACUUUCAAUUGCCGGAACAGGGAUUUCUUCCUCUCCCCAUUGAAGCGGGAGAUACAAUGCGUGCCACACUGGUUGUCAUGCCUAGCCACGGUUUAGGGUUGCGAGAGCAAGGCUCUGGCUGCAAGAAGGGAAUCAGACUUCCACUUCAGGUUAACCACAGUUUAGUGGGUCAGCAGAAACCUAAGUUAUGACCCAUCUCAAUUCUGGUUAGCUGAAAGAAGGCAGCUCCAUGAACCAGAGGUGAAAGAUAGGUUUGUUUGUCUUCUCAAUAGACCACAGUUAUUGAGGUUGAAUCCUGACAAGACAGAAGUACUGUUUUGGGGGGACAGGAGGCGGGCAGGUGUGGAGGACUCCCUGGUUCUGAAUGGGGUAACUGUGCCCCUGAAGGACCAGGUGCGCAGCCUGGGAGUCAUUUUGGACUCACAGCCGUCCAUGUAGGCACAGGUCAAUUCUGCAUCCAGGGCAGCUGUUUACCAGCUCCACCUGGUAUGCAGGCUAAGACCACACCUGCCCUCAGACUGUCUUGCCAGAGUAGUGCAUGCUCUGGUUAUCUCCCGCUUGGACCACUGCAAUGCGCUCUACGUGGGGCUACCUUUGAAAGUGACCCGGAAACUGCAAUUCAUCCAGAAUGCAGCAGCUAGACUGGUGACUGGGAGCGGCCGCUGAGACCACAUAACACCGGUCUUGAAAGACCUACAUUGGCUCCCAGUACGUUUCCAAGCACAAUUCAAAGUGCUGGUGCUGACCUUGAAAGCCCUAAACGGCCUCGGUCCAGUAUACCUGAAGGAGCGUCUCCACCCCCAUCAUUCUACCCGGACACUGAGGUCCCGCGCGGAGGGCCUUCUGGUGGUUCCAUCCCUGUGAGAAGCCAAGUUACAGGGAACCAGGCAGAGGUAGUGGCGCCCUCCCUGUGGAACACCCUCCCACCAGAUGUCAAAGUGAACAACAACUACCAGACUUUUAGAAGACAUCUGAAGGCAGUCCUGUUUAGGGAAGCUUUUAAUGUUUGCUGUAUUAUGGUAUUUUAAAAUUUUGUUGGAAGCCGCCCAGAGUGGCUGGGGAAGCCCAGCCAGAUGGGCGGGGUAUAAAUAAUAAAUUAUUAUUAUAUUAUUAUUAUUAUAGGUAGGAUUAACCACAAUUUGGAAGGAUUUGACAACAAAGCAACUUCUGUAAAGCAACCAUGGCCAACUGUCAUGGAUGUUUAAGCUGAGAUUCCUGCAUGGAAGGGGUUGGACUAGAUUGACUCUCGAUGUCCCUUCCAAUUCUACAAUUCUAUGUUCUAUGAUAGAUGUACAAUUUCACAAAAAUAUUCACCAAUGUUUGCAUAAUAUAAGAAGUCAGUGCUAUGGAAGUGAUUUAAGUAUUGUGCAAAAAAAAGGGGGGGAGGGAGAGAGAAGCAAGCUGUGUUCUGGCCUCAGUUUUUUCAACACACUGGCUUUUCCCUGCAGGCAUCCUGUUGCUACAAAAGGCCAGAUAAACAGGGCCGUUUUAUUGCCGAAUUAAAAAAGGAAAACAGCCCGCAACAAUAGCAACAUCGGGGAAAGGAACAGCGGACUUAAAUCAUCAAGUUGUCCAAGCCAGAAAUUUCCUAGAGCCACAGCAAUGCUGCCACUCAGCAGAGCAAAAGGAUCAUGGGAUAUUCUGAGAACAAUUAGAUGGUGGGCAUGGUCAUUUACAGAUGGAUGAGCCCCUCCUGUUCAAUUUCAAUGCAACACCACCUGGGGAUCCAGAAUGUGGAGGAACUUGGGACUUCACCCAGCAAAACUACACAAUAUCUGAAGACUCAAUAAAAGUCCAGAAUUUGGUUGCCACCACGGUGGAAGUCAACGAAGGCACACCCUCAUAGAGGCUGGGAAGAGCAUGCAAUGAGUUUUGAAAUGUACGUAGGAAUCCGAUGAACCAGACCAUUCGUUCAUCUAGUUCAGUUCUGUCUAAAGUGACAAGCACCAGGGUUUUCAGACACGGGAACAUUCCCAGCCCUACCUAGAGACCUGGGACCUUCUGCAUAAUAACAAAAACUGAUAAUUUUAUUAUUUAUAUCCCACCCAUCUGCAAAGGAAGGACUCUCUGCCAGUGUGUUCCUCAACCUUCACAGCAAACACAUGUGGGCACUGUGCCGGCAGUCUGGGGGUGGAAUCCACAGCACCCCAGGGAGUCAGCGCAAAUUGUGGCACAUUAACUUAAGACAGCAUCCAGGACUACCCCAAAUUCUUGGGUGGAUGCACUUUGCAGGAGAAGACAGAGGAACAGCGUUUCAUGGAAGCUUGCUCGCGGCGACUGACCAUCUCGUGGAGGAACUGCAGAGCUCCCACAGAAGACAGCUUUCAAGACCACUGUCAUUGUGGUUCGCACUCAGUUCCCCCACCGCUUCCUGCGCCUAAAAGCGGAACUUUGAUCUCCCCUAAAGGAUGCAGAACAGAGGAGUGGCUUAAAUGGUCUGUCCAAUAUUGUUGGACUGCAACUCCCAUGAUGCUCAAUCAUUGCCCAUGCUGGCUGCAGCUGAGAAGAGUUGUAGUCCAACGUGAUGCAGCUAGGAUACCUCAGUUGGCAGAGCAUGAGUCAUGAGUUGGAGUCCCAUGUUAGGCAAAAGAUUCGUGCAUUGCAAAGGUUAGAUUAGGUGUCUCUCAUGGUCCCUUCCAACUCCACAAUUCUAGGAUUAUGAGACCUGGUGUAGCUCAGUUGGUAGAGCACAAGACUCUUGUUAAUCUCAAGGUCAUGGGUUCGAGUCCCACAUUG